CAAUAGCGUAUAUUAAAGUUGUUGCAGUUAAAAAGCUCGUAGUCGGAUUUUGGCAUCACGCCGAACUGUCUGCCGAUUGGUAAGCACGGUUUGGCGGUUGCUUCCUUCCGGAGGCUCGUUUCCUUCUUAACUGAAGGGUUCGUAGGUUCCGGUUCUUUUACUUUGAGAAAAUUGGAGUGUUCAAAGCAGGCCUAUGCUCUGAAUAGGUUAGCAUGGAAUAAUGGAAUAGGACUUUGGUUCUAUUUUGUUGGUUUCUAGGACCGAAGUAAUGAUUAAUAGGGACAGUUGGGGGCAUUCAUAUUCCAUUGUCAGAGGUGAAAUUCUUGGAUUAACGGAAGAUGAACUUCUGCGAAAGCAUCUGCCAAGGAUGUUUUCAUUG
RNAcentral lists this ribosomal RNA (379 nucleotides) under uncultured eukaryote. Its description in RNAcentral is "partial 18S ribosomal RNA". It matches the Rfam family "Eukaryotic small subunit ribosomal RNA", at positions 592 to 975 of the family's 1831-position model. The record is from RNAcentral.